UACAGAGGGUGCAAGCGUUAAUCGGAUUUACUGGGCGUAAAGCGUGCGUAGGCGGCUCGCUAAGUCGGUUGUGAAAUCCCUCGGCUUAACCGGGGAACUGCGUCUGAUACUGGAUGGCUUGAGGUUGGGAGAGGGAUGCGGAAUUCCAGGUGUAGCGGUGAAAUGCGUAGAUAUCUGGAGGAACACCGGUGGCGAAGGCGGCAUCCUGGACCAAUACUGACGCUGAGGCGCGAAAGCUAGGGGAGCAAACGGG
Molecule: ribosomal RNA, 253 nt
Filed under: uncultured bacterium
Lineage: Bacteria
Description: partial 16S ribosomal RNA
Rfam family: Bacterial small subunit ribosomal RNA
Source: RNAcentral